Molecule: ribosomal RNA, 784 nt
Filed under: uncultured bacterium
Lineage: Bacteria
Description: bacterial SSU rRNA
Rfam family: Bacterial small subunit ribosomal RNA
Source: RNAcentral
AGAGUUUGAUCCUGGCUCAGGACGAACGCNNGGCGGCGUGCUUAACACAUGCAAGUCGAACGGAAAGGCCUCUUCGGAGGUACUCGAGUGGCGAACGGGUGAGUAACACGUGGGCAAUCUGCCCUGCACUUCGGGAUAAGCCUGGGAAACUGGGUCUAAUACCGGAUAGGACCACGAGACGCAUGUCUUGUGGUGGAAAGCUUUUGCGGUGUGGGAUGGGCCCGCGGCCUAUCAGCUUGUUGGUGGGGUGACGGCCUACCAAGGCGACGACGGGUAGCCGGCCUGAGAGGGUGUCCGGCCACACUGGGACUGAGAUACGGCCCAGACUCCUACGGGAGGCAGCAGUGGGGAAUAUUGCACAAUGGGCGCAAGCCUGAUGCAGCGACGCCGCGUGGGGGAUGACGGCCUUCGGGUUGUAAACCUCUUUCACCAUCGACGAAGGUUCGGGUUUUCUCGGAUUGACGGUAGGUGGAGAAGAAGCACCGGCCAACUACGUGCCAGCAGCCGCGGUAAUACGUAGGGUGCGAGCGUUGUCCGGAAUUACUGGGCGUAAAGAGCUCGUAGGUGGUUUGUCGCGUUGUUCGUGAAAUCUCACGGCUUAACUGUGAGCGUGCGGGCGAUACGGGCAGACUAGAGUACUGCAGGGGAGACUGGAAUUCCUGGUGUAGCGGGAAUGCGCAGAUAUCAGGAGGAACACCGGUGGCGAAGGCGGGUCUCUGGGCAGUAACUGACGCUGAGGAGCGAAAGCGUGGGGAGCGAACAGGAUUAGAUACCCUAGUAGUCC